UCAUCAUAUAUCACAAUCAUACACAGGUACAUAUACACACACGUAUACACGACAGGUUACAUAUAGUAACCGCUUAUUCAUCCAGAACGCAUAUACAUGUACGUCGAGCGGGCCCACCUCUCAGUCUCUCGAUCUCACUCUCACACGCACGCGUAGAUACAUAUACGUGUACAACAUACAUAUACAUACAUGUGGCCGUACGUGCACGCACACGUACGUCGUCGACGGGACGUAUACGAUUGAUGGGCCGGGAGAAAUGAAAUCAGCCGAAGAAGUGGUGCUUCUUCUCGCCGGCGGCCUCCUCGGCCUCCUUGUGGUCCUUCUUCUUCUCGUGGUGCUCGUGGAAGGCGAAGCCGCCGGAUCCCACGGCCGCCGCCGCCGCGAUCUCCUCCUCGAUCUUGUGCCGGUGCGCGUGCUCCGGGUCCUUCUUCGCCUCGUGCUUCUCGUACUGUAACAUGCAUGCAUAUGUUGUACGAGAUCAUCAUCAGCUCGUUCGUUCAAUCCAUAUAUAUAUAUAUAUAUAUAUAUAUAUAUAUAUAGGUAAUAAAAUAUGAUAAUAAUUAACAAUAAUCGUCGGACGACGACAACGACGACGACGUACGAGUGCGAAGGCGCCGGCGGCGAUGGCGCCGGCCUCGCCGAGGUGCUGCUUGUGCUUGUGCUCCUUCUCCUCCUUCUUGUACGUGUCGUACUCGUCCUCGCCGCCGGUGGACACCACCUCCGUCACCGUGGUCUCCGUGUACUCGGCGGCCUCGCCGUACCCGUACCCGCCGCCGGCGACGGGCUGCUCCAGCUGCUCCUCGUCCUUCUUGUGGUGGAACAGGUGGUGGUGGUGGUGCUUCUCCUCCGCCAUGUGUGCUGUGUGCAGUAGUGGAUAGUGAUCGAGAUGUGACCUUUAAUUUGCUGGAGGAAACAGAUCGAGCGAGUGACAAUUGGAUAUGAGUGGUUGGUGCCUUGGCACUUGCUCGGCUUUUAUAGUCGGAUGGAUGGAUGGAUCGGAGCCGGCAAGUGGACUGUGGUGGCAUGGACGGUGGAGAUGACGUGGUUAUUAUUAAUUAACUGUUGACAUGGAUAUAUUAUUGUGAUGCGGAAAUACGUACACGUGUCAAUGUGUCAUAAUUAAGGUAUGCAUGCACAAGGCACUUGUGUAUAUAGUACUUCUCUGAUUUAUAUCUUGUGGCCACUACGAUUCAUGCAUUGGUCUAGCUAGGACAAGUCAUGCAUACUUUAUACGCGUUAUUAACGCGUACGUACAAAGGUGCGUAAUUUUUGGACGGCGAUUUUUUCAGCCACCCCUGUACUAUACUAGAGGGUACAGCAAACGAAUAAUGUGUCAUUAUGUUCCUGUAUAAUUACAUUUAAUUAACAAACAAUCCAUGUACAAUUACCUAAAUAGUAUUACAUUCGUCAUUUAGAUGAAAGCAAAUCAAUUCUGAGUGCGUCGCUUUGCCCUACCUGUUGUCUAUUGAUUGUACCAGACCGCAGUAAACAAACCAACACCAGUGCACUAAAGACAAGGCAAAACAAUCAAACGAAUAAAAAAUGAUUCGUGGACUAGAUAAUUCGGGUGAUUGAUGGUACCCCUUUUUAUUGAAGUAUUGACUAUUCUUUGUUUCACUAAGUCUCAGUGGAAGCUUUAUUUGUGUUUAACUAGGCUCUCACAUAAACAUUUUAAAUGACGUGAUAAUAGUUUUAAGAAGAACGAGAAGAAAUAAUUUUCAUGCGGAUAAAACUCUCUUUGACUCAAUUACUUACACAAGUUGCCUAGAAUAAUUAAACCAUGCAUCGCGAGUGAUGGUUUCAUCCAUAUCUCGAUGCAUUCUGCUUUGUUUUUUUAAAGCAACACCACGACGAAAUUCUCCACUAAAGAAUGACCUGAGGAGCCUAUUUGGAUGUCCUAAUUUUGAGUAAGUAGGACGAUACUACAUCCGUUCUAAAAUAUAGAUCAUUUUAGCGCGCGCUCUCUCUCUCUCUCUCUCUCUCUCUCUCUCUCUCUCUCUAUAUAUAUAUAUAUAUAUAUAUAUAUAUAUAUAUAUAUAUAUAUAUAUAUAUAUAUAUAUAUAUAUAUAUAUAUAUAUAUAUAUAUAUAUAUAUAUAUAUAUAAAGGUAAUAACUACUAUGCCAGCCCAAAUCAUGAUCUUCACCAACUUGGAUUUGGUUCUCUCGCGAAAAUCGCGAGUUGCAGAGAUGAGAACCCUGAAAAGCAAGAUCCCGAAUAAGAAAAUAGAAACCGAGGAAACCACAAGAGUGAAGACUAGUAGAGUCUCAUCUUUUGUCAUUCUUUGCUCCUUUUUCACUCAAUGAUUCAUUCGAAUUUUCCAACCAAAAAUUCUAUAUGUCUAUUCUAUGAUAUUUCUAUAUAUAUAGAAUAUGAUAUCUAAUAUGACACCCGAUUUGUCAAAGGGAUUGGAUUGGUGACUUACCCAUUCAGUGACUUUGGCACUGGACGUUCCAAAAACGGGUACUAUCGGAUCGGGUGAAUUAGAGAAUAGACAGAGGUCCGUUGGCAUUUCAGCUUCUCUUCUCCUUUCAGAGCCUAUCCGAAAGAUAUAUAUAUAUAUAUAUAUAUAUAGAGAGAGAGAGAGAGAGUUAAUUUUGAGGUAAAUUUAUUUUUUGGAAUUCAAAAAUAUGAAAAUGUGUGAACACAGAUGACGCUGAAAUGGAACGGCCUUCUAAACACUUUCUUUUGGAGGUGUUAAUAGCAGACGACACCAAAAUAAAGAGGGCCUAUUAUACACUGAAUGGAGGUUGAGGUUGGACCAUGACACUUGUAGGGAAGGGCUUCUCCAGCAAGGCUGAAUCUUGAAAGUGAGGUGAACGGAGGACGACAAUGCUGACAAAAUUGAGAUGGGACAAACUAGAUACAUUAAUAAAAAGAGGAAAUGGAAAAGUCACUCGAAGGAUAAAAUGUACCUUCAAUAAUACGUAUAAUUAACAUGCACAAAUAAUUACAUUACAUAUGUUUAGAGAUGGGCGAAUAAGGUUUUUAGGCGGGGAUGCUUAGCUAGUUAGCCACCUCUAGUAAGAGGAGGGGGUUUUGAAGAGAUUGUUAACACAAUAUAUCCUUAUCUCACGGAAUCAAAUUAUAAGUCCUUAAUUGCUUUUUAGCAAUGAGAGAUGUUUAGCACGGCUUCUCUGGAGGGGUUUCUCUAAUUUUCUCUAAAAUAGCUCUGGCUUAUAUACUUUUUUUAAUAAAAAAUAAUUUUUUCAUAAAAACAUUUAUCAGGACUUUUUUUUAGAGGAGCAAGCUAUAAAGGAAGAACCUUGCCAAACAGUCACUAAAUGUCGUGAUCACGAUAGUGACGAGGGCGUUAACUUAGAUGUGGAAAGUUUUUGAUUUCACUACUUUAGCACUUUUGUUUGUUUGUAGUAAAUAUUGUCCAAUCAUAGACUAACUAGGGUCAAAAUAUUCGUCUCGCGAUUUUCAGGCAAACUGUGUAAUUAGUUUUUGUUUUCUUCUAUAUUUAAUGCUUUAUACAUGUGAAGCAAGAUUUGAUGCAACGGAAAAUCUUAAUUUUUUUUGAUUUUUUGGUGAACUAAACAAGGCCAAUAGAGACGAAAACCUGAAUGAAUCUGACUUCUGACAUGCACCACGCGUCUACGUUCAUUGUCCACCGGACCGGGUACCGUAGGGCAGGGGGCAGGGGUAGUGGGCCCCACGGUUGUGUGGGCUAGCUGCACGGCCCACCGACGGACCGACCUCGUGAAUUAGCCACUUGGCCGGUGAUUGGCUGACUCUAUGAGGUACAGUGUCGGCAGAUGGAUAAUCCAUAGAAUAUUCCGAGAUCAGCAUUCAAAAUAUCAGUAACAAAGACAGCUCCAUAAAUAAGUCAGGAAAAGGUAAACAAACAAUUUAUACAUGGGAGUGGAUCAGUGGAAGCAACAAACACGUAUCAAAAGCAAAAAUUAAUGACUCAAACACGUAUCAAAGAGAAAAUUAAUGACUCAUGUGUGCUCAAAGUAUAUUUUAGUGUAUUCUACUCCCUCCGUCCACGAAAGAAUCAAUUUCUAGAAUUCGUGUCAGUCAAACUUUUUUAAGUUUGACUAACCUUUAUAGAAAAGAGUAAAAAUAUCUAUGACAUAAAAUAUGCACCAUAUGAAAGUAUAUUCUAUGAUAAAUCUAAUGAUACUAAUUUGAUACUAUAAAUCUUAGCAUUUUUUUAGAAAUUUGAUCAAAGUUUAAAAAGCUUAACCUAGGACAGCUCUAGAAAUUGACUCUUUCGUGAACGGAGGGAGUACAAAAUUACUUACACCAUUCAAUAACUCUGUUUAAGUACCAUCUAAACGUCUUGAACUAUAAACAAAAGGUGAUUGAUUGUUUACCGUUUAAUAUUUAGAAUAAUAUCGGAGUGCUUUGUCGCAACAUGCAUAACAGAUUCAUUGUUUGUGGCUUAAGCAACCUCUCUGUGUGGUGAUCUUUUCCUCCUUUGGCAUUAACUUUGAGCAAAGGCAGAAUCAUGAUGUGAUGCAAUUGGACCACGAGGAGAAGGUGUCGGCCAGUUUGGACGAAAAAAAAAACAAUGCAAAAGGCUAGCUAGAUAGAGCUUCCCUCACAUCGCAUAUCACGCGUAAUGUGACGAUGGUGACCUUGAACCAAAGAUAUUUAUUCCUCUUUGAUUUGGGGUCCUGCAUAUUCGAUUGAUGGAGAGAGAAACUAACAUUUAACCAACUUUAAUUGGUCCAUUCCUGUCGAAGAUGAAUAAAUUCUUCAUGAAGCACAUAUUUACAGGAAGUUUUCCUUUGGCGAUGGAAUAUUCAUAUAUAUUUUUUAAUCAGUAGAUUACACAUUUGAUUCAGCUAUUCAUGUAUGGUUUUUCUUGUAUGAUACAAGAUAUAUAUCGUCAUUGCGGUUGCGCGCUAUGUUGUCAUUAUUAUGCCAUAGGUAGACUUCUUUUUUUUUGUGAGAAUGCCACGUAUAGACUGUUCCCUUGUGAAAACGAAAUGCACAAGCAUCUGAUGUGAGCAACUAGCUAGCUUGUUGUGACAAGGAAUAUAUGACAAAAUAAAUCUAUUGUUGUACAUUUCAAGAUUUAAUAUGUUAUUUGUAACAAAAACAAAAGGCGAGUAUGACAAAUUGGGUUACACAUAUCAGUCCAUUGGUUGCAACCACACAUUCAAAAAAAUAUCUCCACUCAUUUACGCAUAAAGGAUACACCAAUUUGGCAAUGCGUGUGGGGCAGAAUUCUCCAACUAAUUAAUCACUCAACAAUUAGUAAAAGUAUAGUGUACCAUUAUUAAGGCUAUCUUGAUAAUGAGAGCGUGCCCCAUAUUUCAACUCACUUUGUUCUUCCCCUUUUAUUUUUCUUGUUGUAAGCUGGUGAAGUGACGAUGAUGUACAUCAAAGAUAUACACAUCGGCGAUUGCCAAUGUAACAAAAUAGGAAAGCCUAUCAACAACCAAAUUCUUCAUUAAAGGGGAAAACAAAAAAAUGAGUUAGAGAAGACCAAAAUAUCACUAAAAAAAUAAAGCAUUUUGUAUUUUUCCUAGAAAAUUGGAAGCAGGUAGCUCUUCAUUAAUUCGUUGGGGAGAAAUGGCGUCUAGUUUAAAAUUAAAGCAUGGGAAAAGCCUAGGGAGAAAGAAAACAUAACAACACAUAGAAACUAUGGUUAAUUAGAAACAUAUUGUUCCAAAAAAGCAACAUAUUAUGAAUUUGAUGUUUUUUAAAGAACACCAUUAUUUUUCACCUAACAGAGAUGACACCAUCACAAUUUGAGUCUGAAAUACGGCACUUGGUAUGCCUAUGGAGUCUUUAGGCCUAGGUGUAGAUGUACAUACAACUCUGUGUUUUCUUUCAUAUGUACAAAAAUGCUCCUCCUGCCCCUCUCCCUCCCACAAACUAACAUAAGAACCCCAUUUGUCAGCCUCUACACAAUCUCUCUCUCUCCCUCUCCUUUCUCUCUCGCCUCCAUCUCCAUGGGAGUAGGGGCACGACUAGGCGUGAUGACUAGUAAAGGUGGCUGGGGCAGAGCACUAGGAGUUGCAGAUGACAUAGAAACUGUGUGCAAUGGGAAUUGCAUGAAGAUUGAGCAGGUCCUCAUGGAGCUCUGACCGAUUGACCAUGGCUCUAGCACGUGACGUCGUAGAGGUAGUGGAGGAGGAGGUGGGAUUAUGCACUUGCUGCGAGGAAAUGCCUAGCAGUGCCACCACCUAUAUCAUGCUCAUCAAAGCAUUCGCCAGAUUAGGAGAGAGAGAGAGAGUUAGAGGAAGAGAUUGAAAGAUAGGAGUAUAUGUCCAUGAGGUAGACCUGGUUGGAGGUGGCACGCAAGGGCACCACAAAAAGCAAAAGCCUCAACCUAAGAGGAUGACACACGUGGCAUCAAGGACAAGGCAAUUGAUGUGGGGAGAUGAUGGAGGCAGAAUUCUAGUCGGCCACCAAGAUAUGCAAGAAGGCAGGGUCCACAAAAGGGUAGUGAGGCGAGGGACUAAGUGGCGGCCAUGGAUUUAGAAGUGGAUGCAGAGGCUAAGCAUGACAAACUAGUUACCCCAGUAUCAAUUCCAUUACCGUUGUGCCUGGGAGUGAAGGGUGACAAGGAUGGAGCUUCGAGUGGAGAGACUUGGCAUAUAGGGCACUGCCAAGGAAGCAUGUGGCUUCUUGGAGCUAGACGCGGGAUCUGUUGCACUCACCCAGGCACAACGGUGGCGCAAGCAAAUGCGUGUAGCCACAACAACCCUCCUCCACAUAUGUGCGGGACGCCAUGUAGUUUGGACGGUGCAGCCAAUGAUAGAGAAGAUGCCAAGGAGAGAAUGACAAUGUGGGGAAUUGACGAGUAUGCCCUGUAUGUCAAAAAGUGGUGGGAGAGGAGUAGGGUGUGCAUUUUUGUCCAUACUAAAUACAUGUUUGUUCGUUUUCAAAAAAAAAAUACAUGUUUGUUCAUAUGCCUGUACUUGGGCCAAAAAACAUGUUGUGAACAUACAAAGUGACGUAUUUCAUACUCAAAGAAAAUUGUAAUGGCAUAGAUCCGGAUAGAUGAGAAGUAGUUAUGUCUCUCAUGAAGAUUAAUUAACCCCAAAAACUAAGCAUGACAAACUAGUUAUCCAGUAUCAAUUCAAUCACAAAAGGCAACCCUUCCACUUUACUCCUGUUGUCUUGUAAUAUAAUGUAUUUUAGCAUUUAAAAUUUAUCUUCAAAUAUAAUAUAUUAGAGGACAAAAUCAAUUUUAUAUUAUCAACCAAUAACUAUUAAUGACAUUGACAAUAGUAUCUGAUUAGAAAAUAAAAUAAAGUACACGUGGCUUUUUUAUAUUAUUUUUUAAUUUGUCUUAAAAUUUCUAAAAUAUAAAGUAUUACGAGACAGAGCGAGUAUAUAAUUUGUGCACGGUGACUUAAUGCCUUUAUUUAAUUAAUUAGGCACCGACGAUCCAGAUUAAAGCAGCGCACUAUGAUAGGUUAGGUUAAGGAUCCGAUCCGAUCGAUGCGAGGGCAUCAAUAAUGCGGCUGCCUGCAUCUCCAUAUCGCCAUCACCAUUAUUGGUACCGCGGUGGCCGGUCGAUGGAUGCAGGCCUGGAGCCCCAAUGGCCUUGCAUCGAGUCGUGCCAGGAAACUGAUCGAGCACUUAUUGGUUCUAUGCACAGAUGGACAGGUCAUGCAGAAAUACAAUCUGCGAACAGGUGCACAUGGACACACGAAUACACACCAUGAAUCUAAACACUGAUGUGAUGUCUCUCUCCGAGUCUGCAUCUUUCACUUGCAACUUUUGCCACCUGCGAAUGUACCGAGCCUGGGUUUACUUCCACCCAAAACCUAAAAUUUUUCAAGAUUCUUCGUCACAUCGAAUCUUUAGAGACAUACAUAGAGUAUUAAAUAUAAACAAAAAUAAAAACUAAUUGCACAGUUUGGUCGGAAUUUACGAGACAAAUCUUUUGAGCCUAGUUAGUCUAUAGUUGGACAAUAAUUACCACAAACAAACGAAAAUGCUACUGUGUCGCGAAAUUUUUCCCUAACCAACUAAACACGGCCCAAGUCUUGUACAGUUGAAAUGGUUAUGAUAAAGAGCAGGACUAUUUUUCCUUCUUUUUACAUGUGAGAGAGGAAUCUUUUUUCCUCGUUGAAAUAAUCUGGGGGAGGGCGUGGGUUACUGGAUCGGAGCUAGAACCAUCAAGGCCUUGUUUAGUUCCCAAAUUUUUGGGCCGAAAUGCAAAAAAAUUUGCAAUUUGGCCUUUUGGAAGUAAACGGGCCCGAAAUAUUUUAGGCCUAUUUCGCAGGCCGAAACCGGGGAUGGCAGCCCAAACUUUCACGCGCGGUCGGUCUUAUACGCGGCGGCAGCGUCAACCCUAACCCUUAUCCGCAUUCUCGCCCACCCGCACCGCACACCGGCCGCCGCCGUACUCUCCUCCCUCCCGUUCCUUCCUCCGCCGCCGCCGUGCUCUCCUCCCUCCCGUCCCUGCUCCACACAGCUUUGCUCUCCCCACUAGAUCCAUCCAUUUCCUCUACUUUCGUCGCGUAUACCUUGCGAACCAUGGCCGGGCAUGGCAGCGGCGGCUUCGACGGUGACGAGGUUGGCUUCAACCGGAGCCACAAUAACGGAUCUGCGACCGGCGGCGUCACACGCGACUUCUGGGCCACCUCAGGACCAAGCGCCUUCGGCUCUGGUGCUGGAUCAAGCUCGUACCCCAACCCGCACCUAGGGUUCGACGGUCUUCACAUCAACGCUGGCGACCAAUGGGCAGCAGACGACGUCGACCACUACGCCGACCAUCUCCGCGGAAGCAGGGAUCUAAUGCCGCCUCCCGUUCGCGUCCCGACGGUGGGGGCAUCUCGACGUCCCUUGUUCCGGCCGCCUCGCCAAGCGGGUGACCCUGUGGGGUCAGCAGAGGAAGGUUUCGGCGACCUGUUGUCGCCUGGCAGGGACAGCAACCCCCGAUCUGCACGCACGGCAUCUCGCGGCCGAGGACGCGGUCACCGCUCACACGCAUCUGCCGGAAAGGUAAAGAACACCCUGCCUACCUGCUUCAUACAUGUGAAGUAGUUUAGUUGUAUUUGAGAUUAUUUCUGUAUUGUACAUGUGAAGUACUUUAGUUGUAAAGAAUACCCUGCCUACCUGCUUAGUACAUGUGAAGUAGCUUAGUUUCCAUAUUUUUGUUUAUGUGUGUACUGCAUUGUACCCUGUUCUUGGGUUGCCCAAUUCAUGAAAUCUUGGAUCUGGGAAAGUCCAGAGGGUAGCUUGGCCCUUGGCCGCUUGGAUUCAAUUGUAAACAAGGAUUACAGGGGUGUGAUAGAGGGAGAGGGGUCUGCCACUUACAUAGCAAUGUGGUCAGCCACCCACUCCAGAAUAUGCUAAAGCAAAAGUAAAGAUGCCUGCUCCAAACUUGGAUGCCAAGGCACUGCUACUACUAAUGCAGAAAUUAAGAUACAUAGCAAUUAGGCUUAACUAACAUUAUGCUUUCUGUUUUCAUCAUUUGGCCAUACUAUCAAAUUCAUUCAUUAGAUCACAGCACAUCACAGAAACAAUUAUUUCAGCGAGUAUCAUGCUGCUAUCAUAUAAUCAAUUAUUUCACUAUUACAACUAAGGACGCUUUAGCUAUGCUAAAUGUCAGUAUUCGACUUAGCUACAACUUUUUCUUAGCGAUGCUAGCCCCAAUAAAGAAAAGUAUCCAUAAACUUGGACAUGGUACCCCAUCUAAUGCAAUUGAAACCAUGAUGAAACCUCUAUUGAGAAUGAACCCUAUUGGACCUUGGGUUAUGUAAAUAAAAGGAGAUGAACCAUCAAAGCUUCUGCUAGAACAUCUUUCCCUUAAUCCCCUCAUCAUUUAAUCUUAGAAAUGCAUCUAGCUUCACUCUCCUCGCAAUCUCGCAUACUCAACUUGUAUCCCUAGCAUUGCUGGCCUAAACACAUGUGGACACAUUUAGAUGUCAAUAUAUGGACUAAAUGAUGAAUUUAACUGACAUUAUACUUUUUGUUUUCAUCAUUUGGCCAUACUAUCACGGUUUAGGUCCACAAGAGCAAAGCUAAUUGGACCACAGAAAAUCUAAUGAAGUACUGCGAGUCGUACGUUUUAGAGAUGCACAACGGCAAUUGCCCUGGAGGCCAAAUGAACAAAUUUGGCUGGAAGGGGUUGAGCAGUAGGUAUUAUGCAGCAACAGCUUUGCUGCAUGAUAGGGAACAAUUGCAGGGCAAACAGAGGACCCUUAAGAAGCUGUGGAGGUUCUGUAACCUUGCACGCACGCACACUGGCGUUAAUAUAGAUGCCGACGGGUUCAUCCAUGCUACAGACAAGUGGUGGAACGACAACGCUACGGUAUGUAUUUCAUGCACUAUCACAUUUCCAUUUGCAAUGUACUUGUACAACUCCAAGAAUAUGUAACCGUUUCACUUGUUGCAGGAAUGCGAGUUCAUGAAGAUUAGGACAAAUGGUCUGCCUCCGUACUUAGAACAGCUCGAUGAGAUGUUUGCUGGCAACACAGUUGAUGGGUCGUCAUCGUACGUUCCAGCUGCUGGUCCAACAACUCAAGUGCAUGAAGUUACAUCUGAUGACGAAGGUGCAGAUGACGAGGACACCCCUACUCCUAUGAGCCUUGGGACCAAAGGACAGGAAGCACUAGCACAACUGCAACGAGCCCGAACAAGAAGACCAAGAACACGUACGCGAGGGUCAUGAACCAGCACAUGAGCUCGCAUUUAGAGCUUGCUAGAGAGAGGCUAGAGGUACACAAAAAUGCCCUUCAGAAGAAAGCACAGGACAAGGACGCCGCAAGGACAACUGUGAACUGGAAAAUAGCUGAGUGCUCUAGGAUUGCUGAGCAUGAGUUGGGCAUAUCUCGAGACACGCCAGCCCUGUUGGAUGGACUGCUUGCUCUGGCUGAGAAUGAAGCUCAGAUGGACUUGUUCCUUUCCUCAAGUAAGACAGUGAGGAUAAGAAUCAUCCAGAAGCUCGCCAGCAACCCUCCGCCGGUGGACCCCUAGAACACCUUCCAUCUAAUGCAUGUAGCAAUGGCACAAUAGUACCACUGACUGUGCAGUACCUUUUGCUGGAGAAGGAACCGAUGCUUUUAGUUGUGAUGUAUGUUGUAGUGCGUACGUGUGUGUGGUUUUAUUUCUUUCUUUUCAAGAACUGGGAACUCUAUGUUGUGAUUUGUUUCGAAAGAGCUUUGAAUGUACUAAUUUGUUUGAUGAACAAUCUUUGUUGCACCAUGAAUUGUUAUGUACUAGUAUGCCACUUUUGGGGCAUUAUGAUGACACUCAUUGUGUUCUACCAUAUGCUGACUACUCUGUGCUGUAAUUAUGGCAGGGUAAGAGUUCUUGGUAUGAUGCACAAAGGGAGGAGUUGUUGCAGUAGUUGGAGAAGGAAGAAGAUGAGUUGCUGGAUGAGUUGAUGGAAGAUGCUGAGGAGGAUGAGUUCAUCUUUGGUAUGUACCAAUAUGCAAUGCACAUUGACAAGUACCUGUGUAGAGCUGAGUAUAGAGUUCCUAAAAUGAGUGGCAUUGAAUGGGUUCAUGCUAAGACAACCAGUGAGAAGUCAUGUUACAACAUGUUUAGAAUGACCCCUACAAUGUUCUUUACCUUGCAUGACCUUUUAUGUGAUAAGUACGGUCUGAAAUCGACAACCAAGUUGACUUCUUUUGAGGCUCUAGGGAUGUUCUUAUGGAUGGUUGGGGCACCACAGUCUGUUAGGCAAGCUGAGGACAGAUUUGAGAGGUCCUUGGGGACUGUCUCAAAAAUGUUCAACAGAGUCUUGAAUAGCCUUGUGCAGCUAGCAGCAGACAUCAUUAAGCCAGUUGACCUAGAGUUUAGAACACUGCAUCCAAGGCUUAGAAAUCUUAGGUUUUAUCCACACUUCAAGGACUGCAUAGGGGCUAUGGAUGGGACUCAUGUCCAAUGUGUAGUGCCAGAUGACAUGUUUGUUCAGCACUUGUCCCGCAAGGGAAUCACUACACAAAAUGUCAUGGCUUGUUGUGACUUCGACAUGAGAUUCACCUUUGUGAAUGCUGGUUGGCCUGGAUCAGUUCAUGACAUGAGAGUGUUCAAUGACUCGACAACAACAUAUAGCGCUGUGUUCCCACAUCCACCUCAAGGUACUGACUAAUUGGUACACAUAACUGAUUGUAAUAGUUGAUGACACUGUGGCUAACUUCUUGUUUGCUAAUGCAGGGAAAUACUAUCUCGUGGACUCGGGCUAUGCGAACAAACAGGGGUACCUAGCUCCUUACAAAGGCAACAAGUACCAUCUGCAGGAGUUCCGGGACGGGCCGGAGCCACAAGGUAAAGUGGAAAUCUUCAAUUAUGCGCACUCUAGCCUUAGAAAUGUUAUUGAGUGGGCAUUUGGAGUUUUGAAAAUAAAGUGGCGCAUGUUGCAAAAGAUCCCUCCAUACGCACCUCACAAGCAAUCCAAAAUCAUUGUUGCAUGUAUAGCCCUGCAUAAUUUUAUGAGAAGCAGUGGCAUACCAGAUAAGCACUUCCAUAGGUGUGACAAUAAUGAGAACUAUGUGCCGCGACAAGCGUAUGAGAAUCAGCCACCUCCUGAGGUUGUCGAAGAUGGUCCAAACCCGAUGGCUGCAUUCCGUGACUUGCUUGCUUAUGCUAUGGUAACUGGUUCGUAAAAGUGUUGUGAUUCUUCACAGGUUUAUUUAUUUGAUUCCUGCAGUUUGUAAGAAUUUUUUACGACAGUUUUGAUUUCAUGCGAUUUUCUGUGAAUGUUUGAGGACAUAUAUGAGCUGUGAUGUUUAUUGUAGCAUUGUUGAGCCCAUUAUGUGGUUGUAAUAGGAAAUAAAUGUUGUAAUAGGAUGAUUACAGUUUUUUUUAAAUAAAGUGUGCAUGAACAGUGCCUGUGAUUUAAUAUAUACUUAAAUCUAUGCAUGUUUUGCAUGGUGCCCAAACACAGGAACAGCAGCAUUAACGGCAACCUGCAUAUGCAUGGGGUUGCAUGGGUACCAUUUAAUGCAGCUGCAUGACAUGCAGUUUUAUAAAAUAUUUUGGCAAGUAAACAACAAAAGCAAAAUACUUGUUGUCAGUAUUUUGGUAUGCUGAACAUUCUCUUUGGGAUUUUGCAAUUUUGCAAAAUAGUUCAGAAACUAAACAAGGCCCAAAUCCACCCACGUACCCUAUGUUGCAUAGAUUCCUCUCUCAAUCGCAAUACCAUCUAAAUUUGACAGCUCAACUAUCAAAACUGUUUAAUAUUAACCCUAUAGUCAUCUAAAACCACUCAAAGUCGCCUCCAGGGUUAAAAUUUAACAGUUUUUUUGAUAAUUAAGUGCCAAAGUUAGACAAAAGCAAGAGGUCAAAAAUAGACUUAACCCAGUACUACUUUAGUUUCUUUUAUUUAGACAUUUAUGAUUUUGUGUCACAUGUUCUUUAAAUUAGACAAUGGUUUUUGUAGUAAUUUAUGACAUACUGUAACGACAUAAACUAGCUAGUGGUCAAAUUAAGUAUAGUGAAGGAUCAGUUUUCCCAAUAUCCUUAUAAAAAGAAAUGUUGGGAGGGCCUUAUUAACCUUGCACCAAUCGUCUCAAACAUUUCAUAUCGUCUUGCGAGGAGGUGAAAAUGAAAUAAACUUUUUAUUUGUGAUUGUGUCCGUUUUCCUGUCCCACCACCCUAAAAAGGCGGAUGGAAAGUUUUGGCAAAAAAAAAGGAAAUGAAAUGAAAUGGCCUCAUCCCAACUUGAGUAACGGAUUGGGUCAAGUUUCCUACGUGGGCUGUUCCAACUGCGCCGAGCAUAUCUUGAAACGCUCGAGCCCCAGUACUGUUGCAACGGGACGAGUUUUUAUAUAAAUUACGUUAUAAAUCUUAGUAUUUCUCUCUAUAAUUUUAGUCAAACCUGAAAAUACUUUAACUCUCUAAGAUUCUUGGAAUGACUUAAAAUUUGAAAUGGAGGGAGUACAUGAUAUAAGUAAAAUUUUCGUGUCAAAGGAAAAUACCAAAGUGAAUUUUGAAUUGGCACAUACCACAUAUCUGGUACGUUGAUGCUUUUCAUUCUUUCUCUUUCUUUCUUUUUUUUUGCUUUUUUUUAAUCCCUGUCGCUGCCUUCUUUUAAUCGUUGUUGACAAAAGGAGGCAAGUCAAUCCUUAUCGCGUUGGCAUGAGGAGGCAGGGCGGUGGCGGGACGCGUGUAGGGCAGGGGCCGACAGGCAGCGAUGGGCCGAAGGAUCGAACGGUGCCGGCGCUGGUACUGUUAACACUACAAGAAAUAAUGCUAUACAUGACGGUUUACUGGUGACGUUCUAAGAAAACAUCACAAAAUUCUAUUAUUUGUGACGGUUCAUUUUUUAGGUGAUACAUCUAUGACGAUUGGUUAAGUUAUCGUCAUGGUUGGACGUCAUAGAUCAUUUUGGCAUUUUUAUGGUAGAUCUUAACUGUAAAGUUACAUCUAAUAUUUAAAGUCAAAUGAAUUAUAACUCCCUAGGUGUUAGGUAGUCAUUAACACAAAUUAUAGAUGCAUCAACAAAAAAAUAAGAAUUGUUAAAAAAGAUCCUCACGUCCGACUCUAGAAAAGCCAAGUAAUUAAAAAAUCAUAAAUAGAAAAAAUAAAUAUAAUUGCGUAGAAAGAGAAAUAAUAACAAAAAAAAGAAGAAAAGAACACACCUAAAAUAGAAAAAAAAUUAAAAACAAAGAGAAAGAGAAGGACUACUCGUCAGCAGGUCCUUCCCUAUCCCCAUCGUUUUCACGCCCGAGGCCCGACUCCCUUGAGUCCCUUCGUAGUCUCCCUCUCUCCCUCUCGAUCUCCUUCACAGUGCCGCUCUUCCUACUCCUCUCCCCAACACGCAUCCACAUCUGGCCGCUGCCCCCUCCCUGCUCUUCCCCCAUAGGUGGCGCCUUCGCAUCCAGCACCCUCCUCGUCGGUCGCUACCCCUUGGCGCUCCUCCCCUUCUCUCCGGCGGCCCCCCUUCUCAACUCAGUGUCCAGAUCUGUUGGUCCGAGCACAACCGCCGCCCGUCCAGGUGCAACCCCAAGGCGUGCCACCAUCCGUCCAAGCAUGGCCCCAAGUCCGCCGUCGCCGGAGGUGCCCUGCCACCGUCCCUGCUCUGCCUCGACGCAUGGGCGUCUAGAUCUACAGCAGCGAGCACUCACAGGAAUAGGUAUGCCUGUCCUUUCUCUUUCCUUUUGGGCAAAACUAAGCAAUGGUACCCUAAUUUAAUCUAUUGGGCUAACAGAUCUGAAUUGAUCUAAACCCCGGUGUAUGGACCUUGAAGCAAAUACAGAAAUAUAUGCCAAAAUCAUGAAUUAUAGCUAUUCUUCACCUUGCUAAGUCAGGUACUUUGCAAAACUAUUGCUGAAAUGAGUUUUCACCCCAAGAUGUCAAAGGAAACCUCUCAAGAGAAUUAGGAAUUUAUUUUAAAAAUGUAUUUCAGUGUUCGAUUGGAUAAAUGUUGACAGCUAUUGAGUCCUUGUAUGUGACCAGAGGUACUAUAAGUGCCAUUCAUUUAUAAAGACAGAUAGUGAAAUGCAGUUUCAUUUGGGAUGCUUCUAUAUUAAUAUUACUUUACAUGAGCGACAUUGAACCAUUAUAUCCACUAUUUAAAUAUGAAAAUUAUUUGCAAAGUACUAGUUAUGCAAAGCCCACUUUGGCAUGGAGGAGAAAAUGUUUCUAGAUGUUUUAGGCAAUUUAAUUUCCCUACUACAGAGUGCUAGAGCACUGAACAAUAGGUACUGAGUAUCAAUUAUUAUUCAAAAUAAAUAUAUGGAUGCAAUGUGCUGAAAUAGAUGUCUGCACUAAUAAAGAUUUAGUGGUGAUUCACUGAAUGCUGUUAUAGAAAUAUUAAAUAUAAAUGACUUGUUGUGCAGUGUGCAUUUGUACAUAUGUUUGGAAAUAGAUUGCAAGAUUGACGUUGUGCUUCAUGAUUUCUAUUUCUUGCUAUUGAUUUUGUUUUUCUUAAACCUUAAUCAUUCAGAUAUGCAAGCAAGUGGCAGCACUUUUCUCAAACUUUAAGGUAUGAACAAAUUCGAGUGGACUAUGUGGCAGCAUUGCUCUUAGGCUCUAAAGGCAUGCACUGCUCAGUUUUGGGUGAGUAUUGUAUUAGUCCUGCACUUCUUUGGCACAUUGUCUCUAUGUAAUUGAAGGCUUACAAUUUGUUGGCUCGUAGUUGCACGGUCUAGGAUCCAAUGCUCAUGUUUCUCCACACAUAUGAGUCUUAAUUGGCCAAAAGAUUUGCAUUUUUGUUCAAAUAUAGUACCUUUGCACAUGUGAGUUUUAUUACUGAUCAAGUAUUCUCUGCAGAUGUUUUAUGAGGCUAUCUAUGGAUUGCGGCAAAAGGACCAAGGCGGUCAUGGUGGCUAUUUUCAUUAGUCAUUAAAGAUUUUGUUGUGCGAGCAAAUCAUCUGAGUUGUUGCUGUACAAGCCAACGUCUUAGUUUUGUAGGUACUUGAGUGUAGCUUGGUUAUUACCUUAGUAUUUCGUGUGAAAUAUUGUACAAGUACAAAUGUUGAUGGUUUUAAUGAAAAUGAUGAGCAAUAUUUGUCAAUUGUGAGUUUUGUUCCAGUUUAUGUGUUUUUCAUGAGUGUUGCAGCAAAACCAUGACAGUUCAGUUCAUCACCAUAGUCUCUUCCUAUUAUUGCCUCUGGUUCGUUCAUGACGAUCAAAAAAACCAACCCGUGACGUUAUAUUUUGGUCCAAAAAAUGUAUGACGAGGAAUAGAUGACGUUUCUAUGGACCGUCAUAGAUAGUUAACCGUGACGGAUUUUUGCUUGUCCGUGACAAAAUCAAACCGUCAUGUAUAAGUUAAUUUCUUGUAGUGUAAUGUACAGUGUUCUGAGUCAGGAGCCGUGGUAUACACUUAUAAAGGUAUGGAGUAGAAGUAGAUAUGAUGGUUGGGCUAUGGCUUAAUUAACUAAAGGAAUCACGAAGGGGCCAUGAGCAGGCCAUUAACACCCCUGGAUUGUUGUACCUUUCACCUCGCCAACAUGAAUUCCUCUCCAUUCUCCUAAUCGGGAUUUGGGAAAAACAGACUUAUGAUUUAUGAACAAUAAUCAUUUUAUUUGUAGCAGGUUGGCACGUAUAUACAGUGCCGUGUUUGUACAAGAACACCUAGCACACCACGCACGCCUCCGGCCUAGCUAGCUUUAUUCGACCUCAACUCCGGCCGGCGGCGUGCUUCGCUAGCUGCUCACUCGGUCACUCCCUUACGUCAGCCUGCUGGCUCCCCGGCCGGCCGGGAGCGGGCACGGGCGGCGGCGAGCCAAGGUGGUGUGCGGCCUCCUCGCCGUCGCAGAAUCCACGCAGCACGUCGGCCUCCUCGGCGGUGAACCCGACGGAGGCGAGCAUGGCGGGCCAGCAGUAUCGCGUGGCGCCGCGGAUGGCGACGCAGCACUCCGGGCCGAUGUAGGACUCGCCGUUGACGAAGAAGAGCAGGAUCUCGCUGUAGCACGAACUCAGCCCCAUCACCGCGGCCCAGCACUCCGCGAACCCGCCCUGCUGCUGCUCGCCGGCGCCCUGCUCCUCGCCGGCGCCGUCGAGGGAGGUGGUGGUCGACAGGUCGUGGAGGGCCUGCAGGCGCGCCACCCAGGGCCGCCUAGCGACGCCUAUGGCACGCGGCGGCGUCACGGCGCCGACGCCGUGGGUGAGGACGAGGAGCGCCGCGAUCAGCGCGACGACGACGGCGGCGGUGAGAGUGAGACGUGGGCGUGGUGCCGCCGCUUCCAUUGCCAUUGCCAAGUGCUCGAUCUUGUGCACGCUCGUGGCGGUCUUUGUGUGGGUUCCGGCCGGAGUAGAAGAUGGAUGGAGAGGCCGCCGGUGGUUCAGCCGGGAUCGAGCUGAGGGUUAUAAAUAGCAGCACGCAGCUGGUGGUGAAUUGAUGAUCAUGCACGUACGCAUUCAAGUUGGAGUUGGAGUUGUGAGUGGGCGGCGAAUUCAUAGCAUAGAUGAGUAGUGCUCUCGCCGUCUCCGGCGCGGCGUUCAUGGAAGGCCAAAGGACUUUCAAUCGACGAUUAAUUAGGAAGACGAAUGCCAAAGGUCCAAAUGUUCUGUUUCUGUAUGCUGACAUCAAUCAACUUCAUUGCCAAUUAACUGGAGAACAAAGAAAGUUCAGAAUCACUCUACUGAGGCUCUAUGGACUGAAUUUUGAGCUGGCUCAGUUGCUUGUUUGUUCUAAAAUUAGUGGUAAUUCUGAGUGGAACUUCGUUCUGCUAUGACAGGAACACAUACUAUACCGGUCUUAGUCUUACUGCUGUUUUUUUAGCCACUGUAUAGAUAAGAUAAGGCUUGGUCCUUGGUUCGUGGAGGAUGUUUUUUUUUUUAAUCUAUCUUGCUCGUCGCCUCAUCUCCAAUGAGUUUUAAUAUUUUCGAUCAAAGCCAUAGGACUUGUUUAGUUCACUCCAAAAACCAAAAACUUUUCAAAAUUACUCGUCACAUCGAAUCUUGCGACACAUGUAUGGAGCAUUAAUGCCUUGUUCAGUUCGUGAAAAUUUUUGGUUUUGGCUACUGUAGCAAUUUUCGUUUGUAUGUGACAAUUAUUGUCCAAUUACGAAGUAAUUAGGCUCAAAAGAUUCGUCUCGCAAAUUACAGGUAAACUGUGCAAUUAGUUUUUAUUUUUGUCUAUAUUUAGUGCUUCAUGCAUGCGUAUAAAGAUUUGAUGUGACGGGAAAUCUUGAAAAUUUUUGGAAACUAAAUAAGGCCUAAAUAUAGACGAAAACAAAAACUAAUUAUACAGCUUGCCUAUAAAUCAUGAGAUGAGUCGUUUGAGCCUAGUUAGUCUAUGAUUGAACAAUAAUUGUUAAAUAAAAAUGAAAGUACUACAGUACCUAAAACUAAAAAGUUUUCGGAACUAAACAAGGCCUUAUAAUCAAAUAUUUGAUUGCAGGAGCUAGACACAUAGGUUGUAUAGAAACUUAUAGACGCUUGGUAUGCACAAGAACCCAUAUGCCAAGUAUUUCACAUAUACAACUUUGAUUUUUAAUGCCAAGUAACUUUUGUUUUCGGGUUUUAUGCAGUUACCCAAUCCUAAACUCAUCAGAAAUCAACAUCUUUUAACGUUUUGGGUUUCAACACAUAAAAUUUAUUUGGACAGUUUUGUCUGACAGUAGUUUGGAAGUAUUAGAGUUUUUUAUUUUAUUAUAUUCUUCAUAAAUAUAUUACAACAUACUAAACUAGAACUCAAAAUUCCCAUUAGCGAACCUUGUACUGUGUCGAACCAAGGAAUUUUAAAUGUCAAGAGAAAUACUAACCAUAUGAAGAAAAAAAACAUGCAGCUUCUUCUUAAGGUCUUGUUUAGUUCCCAGAAAAUUUUGCAAAAUUUUUUAUAUUCCCCGUCACAUCGAAUCUUUAGACACAUGCAUGGAGUAUUAAAUAUAGACGAAAAUAAAAACUAAUUGUAUAGUUUGGUUGGAAUUGACGAGAUGAAUCUUUUAAGACUAGUUAGUUCAUAAUUAGAUAAUAUUUUUCAAAUACAAACGAAAGUGCUACAGUAUCGAUUUCCCAAAAAUUUUCAGAACUAAACAAGGCCUUAAUGAAAUGAUAUGCAACUCUUCUGCGUAUUCGAGAAAAAAAAUACUACCAUAGUUUUUUUUUGUAUUCUUAGAGCAUAGGUACAUAAAUAUAACUCCUUAUACAUGAGCUGUCUGGUUUUUCCUUUAGUUGUGCAGCUGUUUUUUUUCUUUUCAGAAUUUCUUCAAUCGAAUUAGUACAGCAGUUUACUUUCAGUCAUGAAAUACGAGGCUGUGUAUGACCUGUAUUAUACAGUACAUGGUCGGAUCACUUACUAUUUGGUCUGCAUUGCUUAGAUCAAAUUAGUACAGCAGUUUUCUUCACCUUCACUUUUUUGCACAUGAAUUGGUUGUAUCAUCCACGUGAGCUACAUGGGAGUGUAUAAGCACAGUGUGAGCAGAUAGGAGAGGGAAUUAGGAGUUUAAGUUUGAGCAUAUCUCUGCCACAACCUACUGAUGUAGCACGAUCAGCUGGAAGUCAAACUAUAGAUGCCAUUACGAGUGUGUGACAAGUAAGACAUUUCCAAGAUCAUUUUGGGACAAACAUGUUUCUUUUAUCUAUUGGUUUGUAUCAUUAACCAAGUUUUUUUUUUCUUUUCAAAAUCGGCCUAUUCACCCAUAUAUUUCAUUAAGAGGAUUAAAGUUUCCAAACCACAUGGUCGACACACGGCAGUGAGAGGCCACCAAUGCGCAGCCAAGAACAACCUAAUUUUAGUUCAGCAGUAGUAAAUUGAAACUCUUAUACUAGUUAGAUCUAUAAAGCUUUGUCUUUUUUAUAAAUGUGCUGCAAAAUUGAAAAAAUGAGACCAUGUCAUCAUACAUAUAUGUAGCAUUCAGUUAUCAGCUUUAGGUUGCAGGGAUUUCUUUUUUACCUGUUUCUGAUCAUUACAAAUAAGUUCUCAUAUAUUCAGAUUUGCUCCUGACAUGCAUCAAUUCGUGUCACACCCAAUUUCAAGGAAGAAAUUGAAUGCAUAAACUUAUGUGCGCCCAGAGAUCAAUCACACACAUAAGUCACAAAUUAAAUACCAUCAUCGCAGUGUUUACAACAAACGUAGUUAUUACAUCACAAAGUCUGGCAUAACAGCGGAAAUAUAAAUAUGAUAAUCUAAGAUAACUAUCUCAUGGCCCUCACACAGGAAAGGUCGACUGGUGAAGCACAAGCCUAAUAGUCCUCAGGGUAGUCCUCAUAGCCACCACCAUCUGUUACCCAUCCGGGAUUUUUUUCCAAAGAAGAGAAAUAUACAAGCGUGAGUACAUCUCGUACUCCACAAGCAUAGCAUGAGGAUUUAUGAGGCUCAAACAGGCUAAACUAGGUUCACUGCAUCAGCUUUUAGUAGGUCAGUGUUUUAUCAUUAAUUAUUAUAGUUUAUGCUUAAGCUCCCAAAUAUCCCAUAUGAUCAGUUAUUAGAACCAUAGAAAGUCAUUAAGUCACAUUAAAGCAUAAUUAUACAUCAUCAAGUACCAUAUAGCCAUCAGUAACCAGUUAUUCUGUGAGUUUUCUGGGCCGCUCGUGACCGUGAGCACGGCUGUUAUAACAGUUAUACACUCUGCAGAGGUUGUGCACUUUCACCGUGAGUCGUGUUGCCCAUAUGCCCGGGAUCCGUGGACCCCCAAACACUACCAAGGUGAGCGGGCAGGGUACACUAUGAAGCCUUCCAUAGGCCUAUUCUAACCAGUUAGGGCCGCGAGGUUUCCUCGGCAGGCAGAUGUAGAAAACCCCCCUUUCCUAUGGCACAUUUCCAUCGCGGCUAUACUCAUAGAAACAGGGGCAGCCCUACACCCAAAGUGGCAAGCGCCUCUUGCGCCCUUUCGGGUAACCUCUAACGAGUUAGAAAAGGUCCUAUUACUGAGCUAAAGUCAGAGCCAUAUGACUCUCCCGGUUGCACUGUAAGUCCCAGCUUUUGCCGACAGAUAAGUCCUUACGGAGGGUCUAGGACAACUGACCAACAGUCAUUUGUACCAUAGCCCUAUGUUCCAUUUAUCAUAAUCAUGUUUAAUCAAUUAACCAUGGUUCCAUCACUGAUUUCAGAUCAUAUAUAAUUGGAGUUAGAGCACUAGCACUUCUACCCAUAUGCAAUAAAAACCCUUGGGAACAAGGUAAUUGUCAUCAACAGCUAGGAUGUCCUUAUAGGUUGCAAUAUUAUACACAUGCAGGGUGAAAUGCUUAAAAAUGAGUAGGACAACAAGGUAGGCCCAUGCUAUACUUGCCUUGAUUCAUGUACUCCUGCUGGUCUUGCUGGUCCUGCUGAUCCCCAAAGAGCUCCGGACUCCCGAAAUACUCCUCACCGUCUGGGCUCGAUCAAUACAUCACAAUCAUCACGCAUACCAAGACAAACAUGCAAGAGAACAAUUCCUAAAGUUAGAAUAGUACACCAGCAGUAAAUAAAUUAAAUAAAAGUUUUCCAAAAUCAUCUACGUGCUGCUACGAUCACGUCAACGCGAAAUUCACGAAAAACGGAACUAAAAUGACCAAAUUACGACUUUUCGGCGAUUUCCUAUAGGCAAUUAAUUAAUUAAACCUAACCCUGAAAAUAAAAAGUUGCAACUACAGAAACAGUAGUACUAACAUGUAGAGAAUUUAAUUACAAACCUAACGCAAUUCGAACGGGUCAAAUCGGAGCUAUAACGAAUAUUUUAUGGCCAAAACACUGCAGUGGCAAUUCUGUAAUUUUCUGAAAACGUAAUUUGACCUAACCGACGGGAUUUACGCUUUCUAAAAGACAAAACGUAUUCAUCCGAAGGCGCUAAGGACCGCGGCCGAAUUUGGAAAUCUGGGAGGGGCUUUUUAAGCAAAAUUUCCCCCCGAAGGGGUACGGUGCAUCCAGGGCCGUUGAUCUCUUGAUGAACGCCCGAGAUUAGAAGGGGAAAGGAAGGGGGAGAGGAUGGGCGGCGCUCCUGGCCGGCGCUGCAGCAGGAGGCGGCGGCG
This 22270-nucleotide long non-coding RNA is filed under the name Sorghum bicolor (sorghum). RNAcentral's name for it is "long non-coding RNA (SBIC_LNC013545)". Lineage: Eukaryota; Viridiplantae; Streptophyta; Magnoliopsida; Poales; Poaceae. The record is from RNAcentral.